This is a long non-coding RNA of Suricata suricatta (meerkat), 1537 nucleotides long. RefSeq lists it as uncharacterized. Lineage: Eukaryota; Metazoa; Chordata; Mammalia; Carnivora; Herpestidae. The record is from RefSeq and is a predicted model, not a curated record. The transcript is spliced from 2 exons.
UGCAUGCUCAAUAACUUUCCAUACUAAAAAUCCUUAUGAAAUUUCUGAAGAAAAUGAGUAACUGCGCAUGGACCAGAAUCACCUUUAAAUGUUAAAUGAGAAAAUUACAAUCAACUACACUAGUUGGUGGUAUCAUAUGUGGGAGAGAAUCCUCGCAAGUCAAAACAUAAAGACAAAGAUGUAUCAUUAGAAGAUAAAUCCAAAUAUACAACCACAGGACAACAUGUUGAAUUGUGUGAAUGAGAAUCUCUUGAAUCUCAGCAUCUUGGCAGGUCAAGUGAUGAGUGGUAGCAGUGGGAAAUUCAUCAUUCUCAUUCUUGCAAAGAAGAAAGCAAGAUUCUCAACAAACUCUCUGGUCCUAAAUCCUGAGAGAGAUUUCUCACAUGGGACAGUUUACAGAGGGCAUUAUGCAAUGUCGUGAGGAAGACCAUCCAAAUUGUGUGCAGAAGAGCAGAAAUUAAAUUUAUAUUGCCGAUUCUUACAGCUGCAUUUGAUAAAAGUGAAAGAUGUAACUAUGAAGUAAAAUACAGUGAAGGUGACUGAAUGAUAGUCUUGUCCAAUCAAACAAGAACAUUUGAUUCUCCAAAGAAGUAGAUGGAUGGCAGGCACUUUGGAGACCUCUCCCUUGAGCUUGCCUUUGAGGGACUUUUGCUAAGAGCCAAAUAGCAAUUAGUUCAAGGUUUUCCUGUAGGACAAAAAGACUGAAGUCUUUUUAUUCUUAACAGAUUUUUAGGAUAAAUGCCUAAGCUUUGAAAAAACCCUGUGAGUGCUCUCACUUUUAUUAAGAGAAUUAAGGAUUCUCCACGUUAUUCUAAGCAGAAUGGAGAAACUGCCACGUCUUCAAGAAGGUACCUACAGAAAAGACAAACAAAAAAAGAAGCUUGUUUUGUAUUAUUUCACAUCAGAAAGCCCUUUGAACACGGUUCUGGAAUAAAUUCUGCAUGAAAGCUUCAACUUUUCACAAUAUGGCAACUCAGAAAGAGAGAUGAUUGCAAAAAAAGCAUUCGGACCAGCUGACGCCAAACUUCCAUCAAAGCUAGAGAAAGAUCCAGCCAUAAUUCUAAGGAAAAUGUGUAAGAAAUUGGUCUCACAACAGUCAAGGGGAAUGUACCUCCAAUUCAAUUGAUGCAUUAUGCAACUCUAUGGCUUAUUUGAUGCUGAUCACAUAAUUGUUGGAGAACUUCUGGCAGAAACAACAACCUUUGUUUCACCAGGACAGUUUUCCUAGCUGGAAGGCAGCUCCUGGACCACACCUAAAACAAUACCCAUCUACUACACAAUGAGGAAUUUGUAUUGUCAGCAUGUGGGAACAUAGUUAUCUUCUUAUUUACUCUUGCAGGUACCAGUUCCUGACGGUCUGCUCAGGACAGGAGACACGUUUAGAUAAAUUACCGGAUACCACCAAAUUCUCUGGAAGUAGUCAGGUUUCUUGAGCAAAGGACUUUGGUCAUUCCGCUGCAAGGAUAAAUGACUUCAAACUCAAAUGCCACUAAUUACGUUCCUGAUGCCCAAAUAAAAUCAUUUGCCCUUUAAAACA